Molecule: ribosomal RNA, 468 nt
Filed under: uncultured bacterium
Lineage: Bacteria
Description: partial 16S ribosomal RNA
Rfam family: Bacterial small subunit ribosomal RNA
Source: RNAcentral
GACGAACGCUGGCGGCGUGCUUAACACAUGCAAGUCGAACGGAAAGGCCCUGCUUUUGUGGGGUGCUCGAGAGGGGAACGGGUGAGUAACACGUGAGUAACCUGCCCUUGACUUUGGGAUAACUUCAGGAAACUGGGGCUAAUACCGGAUAGGAGCUCCUGCUGCAUGGGGGGGGUUGGAAAGUUUCGGCGGUUGGGGAUGGACUCGCGGCUUAUCAGCUUGUUGGUGGGGUAGUGGCUUACCAAGGCUUUGACGGGUAGCCGGCCUGAGAGGGUGACCGGCCACAUUGGGACUGAGAUACGGCCCAGACUCCUACGGGAGGCAGCAGUGGGGAAUAUUGCACAAUGGGCGGAAGCCUGAUGCAGCAACGCCGCGUGCGGGAUGACGGCCUUCGGGUUGUAAACCGCUUUCGCCUGUGACGAAGCGUGAGUGACGGUAAUGGGUAAAGAAGCACCGGCUAACUACGUG